This 4049-nucleotide small RNA is filed under the name Arabidopsis thaliana (thale cress). RNAcentral's name for it is "ATSL037190". The record is from RNAcentral. Lineage: Eukaryota; Viridiplantae; Streptophyta; Magnoliopsida; Brassicales; Brassicaceae.
UGCUUCUAAGCAAAUUUUUGUUGGUUUUAGCAUCUUUUGGGAGAAAAUGGGUAUAAGUGUUGUCUAAACACUCCUAAUCAAUCUUUAACUCUUAUUAUUAGUCAAUACAUUGGAUUGUGAAACAUUUUGACCAUAAAAACACUAACAAGGCUAUUUACUGCUUCUAAGCAAAUUUUUGUUGGUUUUAGCCUCUUUUGGGAGAAAAUGGGUAUAAGUGUUUUCUAAACACUCCUAAUCCAUCUCUAACUCUUAUAAUUAGUCAAAUGCAUUGGAUUGUUACACAUUUUGACCAUAGAAACACUAACAAAGCUAUUGACUGCUUCGAAGCAAAUUUUGUUGGUUUUGCCUCUUUUGGGAGAAAAUGGGUAUAAGUGUUAUCUAAACGCUCGUAAUCCAUCUUUAUCUCUUAUAAUUAGUCAAAUGCAUUAGAUUAUGACAGAUUUUGACUAUAGAAACACUAACAAAGUUGUUUACUGCUUCUAAACAAUUUUUUGUUGGUUUUACCCUCUUUUAGGAGAAAAUGGGUAUAAGUGGUGUCUAAACACUUCCAAUACAUCUCUAAAUCUUAGAAUUAGUCAAAUGCAUUGGAUUGUGAAACAUUUUGACCAUAGAAACACUAACAAAGCUAUUUACUGCUUCUAAGCAAAAUUUUGUUGGUUUUAGCCUCUUUUGGGAGAAAAGAGGUAUAAGUGUUGUCUAAACACUCCCAAUACAUCUCUAAAUCUUAUAAUUAGUCAAAUGCAUUGGAUUGUGAAACAUUUUGACCAUAAAAACACUAACAAAGCUAUUUACUGCUUCUAAGCAAAUUUUUGUUGGUUUUAGCAUCUUUUGGGAGAAAAUGGGUAUAAGGGUUGUCUAAACACUCCUAAUACAUCUCUAACUCUUAUAAUUAGUCAAAUGAAUUGGAUUUUGAAACAUUUUGACCAUAGAAACACUAACAAAGCUAUUUACUGCUUCUAAGCAAAGUUUUGUUGGUUUUAGCCUUUUUUGGGAGAAAAUGAGUAUAAAUGUUGUCUAACACACCUAAUCCAUCUUUAAGUCUUAUUAUUAGUAAAAUGCAUUGGAUUGUGAUAUAUUCUAACCAUUAAAACACUAACAAAGCUAUUGACAUCUUCUAAGCAAGUUUUGUGGGUUUUAGCCUCUUUUGCGAGAAAAUAGGUAUAAGUGUUGUCUAAACACUCCUAAUCUGUCUUUAACUCUUAUUAUUAGUCAAAUGCAUAGGAUUGUGGUACAUUUUAACCAUAAAAACAUUAACAAAGCUAUUGAUUGCUUCUAAGCAAUUUUUGUGGGUUUUAGCCUCUUUUGAGAGAAAAUGGGUAUAAGUGUUGUGUUAACACUCCUAAUCCAUCUUUAACUCUUAUAAUUACUCAAAUGCAUUAGAUUAAGAAACAUUUUGACCAAAAAAACACUAACAAAGCUGUUUACAGCUUCUAAGCAAUUUUUUGUUGGUUUUAGUGUCUUUUAGGAGAAAAUGGGUAUAAGUGUUGUCUUAACACUCCUAAUCCAUCUCUAACUAUUAUAAUUAGUCAAAUGCAUUGGAUUACGAUUAAUUUUGACCAUAUAAACACUAACAAAUCUAUUGACUACUUGUAAGCAAGUUUUGUUUGUUUUAGCCUCUUUUGAGAGAAAAUGGGUAUAAGUGUAUUGGAUUAUGAUUAGUUUUGAUUGUGACACAUUUUAACAAUAGAAACACUAAGAAAGCUAUUGACAGCAUCUAAGCAAUUUUUUGUUGGUUUUAGCCUCUUUUGAGAGAAAAUGGGUAUAAGUGUUGUUUAAACACUCCUAAUCCAUCUCUAACUCUUAUAAUUAGUCAAAUGCAUUGGAUUGUUACACAUUUUGACCAUAGAAACACUAACAAAGCUAUUGACUUCUUCGAAGCAAAUUUUGUUGGUUUUGCCUCUUUAGGGAGAAAAUGGGUAUAAGUGUUAUCUAAACGCUCGUAAUCCAUAUUUAUCUUUUAUAAUUAGUCAAAUGCAUUAGAUUAUGACACAUUUUGACUAUAGAAACACUAACAAAGCUCUUUACUGCUUCUAAACAAAUUUUAGUUGGUUUUAGCCUCUUUUGGGAGAAAAUGGGUAUAAGUGUUGUCUAAACACUCGUAAUCCAUCUCUAACUCUUAUAAUUAGUCAAAUGCAUUGGAUUGUGACACAUUUUAACAAUAGAAACACUAAGAAAGCUAUUGAUAGCAUCUAAGCAAUUUUUUGUUGGUUUUAGCCUUUUUUGAGAGAAAAUGGGUAUAAGUGUUGUUUAAACACUCCUAAUCCAUCUCUAACUCUUAUAAUUAGUCAAAUGCAUUGGAUUGUUACACAUUUUGACCAUAGAAACACUAACAAAGCUAUUGACUGCUUCGAAGCAAAUUUUGUUGGUUUUGCCUCUUUUGGGAGAAAAUGGGUAUAAGUGUUAUCUAAACGCUCGUAAUCCAUCUUUAUCUUUUAUAAUUAGUCAAAUGCAUUAGAUUAUGACACAUUUUGACUAUAGAAACACUAACAAAGCUGUUUACUGCUUCUAAACAAUUUUUUGUUGGUUUUACCCUCUUUUAGGAGAAAAUGGGUAUAAGUGGUGUCUAAACACUCCGAAUACAUCUCUAACUCUUAUAAUUAGUCAAAUGCAUUGGAUUGUGAAAUAUUUUGACCAUAUUAACACUAACAAAGCUAUUUACUGCUUCUAAGCAAGUUUUUAUUGGUUUUAGCCUCUUUUGGGAGAAAAGGGGUAUAACUGUUGUCAAAAUACUCCCAAUACAUCUCUAAAUCUUAUAAUUAGUCAAAUGCAUUGGAUUGUAAAACAUUUUGACCAUAGAAACACUAACAAAGCUAUUUACUGCUUCUAAGCAAAUUUUUGUUGGUUUUAGCAUCUUUUGGGAGAAAAUAGGUAUAAGUGUUGUCUAAACACUCCUAAUCAAUCUUUAACUCUUAUUAUUAGUCAAUACAUUGGAUUGUGAAACAUUUUGACCAUAAAAACACUAACAAGGCUAUUUACUGCUUCUAAGCAAAUUUUUGUUGGUUUUAGCCUCUUUUGGGAGAAAAUGGGUAUAAGUGUUUUCUAAACACUCCUAAUCCAUCUUUAACUCUUAUUAUUAGUCAAAUUCCUUGGAUUGUGACACAUUUUAACCAUAGAAACACUAACAAAGCUAUUGACAACGUCAAAGGAAUUUUUGUUGAUUUUAGCCACUUUUGAGAGAAAAUGGGUAUAAGUGUUGUCUAAACACUCCUAAUCCAUCUUUAAAUCUUAUAAUUAGUCAAAUGCAUUAGAUUAAAAAACACUAACAAAGCUGUUUACUGCUUCUAAACAAUAUUUUGUUGGUUUUACCCUCUUUUAGGAGAAAAUGGGUAUAAGUGGUGUCUAAACACUCCCAAUACAUCACUAAAUCUUAUAAUUAGUCAAAUGCAUUGGAUUGUGAAACAUUUUGACCAUAUAAACACUAACAAAGCUAUUUACUGCUUCUAAGCAAGUUUUUGUUGGUUUUAACCUCUUUUGGGAGAAAAGGGGUAUAAGUGUUGUCUAAACACUCCCAAUACAUCUCUAAAUCUUAUAAUUAGUCAAAUGCAUUGGAUUGUGAAACAUUUUGACCAUAGAAACACUAACAAAGCUAUUUACUGCUUCUAAGCAAAUUUUUGUUGGUUUUAGCCUCUUUUGGGAGAAAAUGGGUAUAAGUGGUAUCUAAACACUUCUAAUCAAUCUUUAACUCUUAUUAUUAGUCAAUACAUUGGAUUGUGAAACAUUUUGACCAUAGAAACACUAACAAAGUUAUUUACUACUUCUAAGCAAAUUUUUGUUGGUUUUAGCCUCUUUUGGGAGAAAAUGGGUAUAAGUGUUGUCUAAACACUCCUAAUCCAUCUUUAACUCUUAUUAUUAGUCAAAUGCAUUGGAUUGUGAAACAUUUUGACAAUAGAAACACUAACAAAGCUAUUUACUGCAUCUAAGCAAAUUUCUGUUUGUUUUAGUCUCUUUUGGGAGAAAAUGGGUAUAAGUGUAGUCUAAACACUCCUAAUCCGUCUUUAACUCUUAUUAUUAGUCAAAUUCAUUGGAUUAUGACAUAUUUUAACAAUAUU